GGGGUACUGGGGUAGGCUCCUGGGCUUGGGGGCAGGAUCCAGGGUCAGGAUCCAGGCAGUAUAAAAGGCCUUCAUCUGCUUCUCAGGGUGGACAUCUCAGACACGCUCAUGUAUGUCUAUGAGAUGUUGGGGGCCGAGCUGCUCAGCAACCUCUAUGACAAGCUGGGUCGUUUGCUCACCAGCUCAGAGGAGCCCUACUCCUGGCAGCACACAGAGGCCCUCCUCUACGGCUUCCAAUCCAUCGCAGAGACCAUUGACGUCAACUAUUCUGAUGUGGUGCCUGGGCUCAUUGGCCUCAUCCCACGGAUCAGCAUCAGCAACGUGCAGCUGGCAGACACUGUCAUGUUCACCAUUG
Molecule: small RNA, 355 nt
Filed under: Pan troglodytes (chimpanzee)
Lineage: Eukaryota; Metazoa; Chordata; Mammalia; Primates; Hominidae
Description: processed transcript
Source: RNAcentral